RNAcentral lists this ribosomal RNA (231 nucleotides) under uncultured bacterium. Its description in RNAcentral is "partial 16S ribosomal RNA". It matches the Rfam family "Bacterial small subunit ribosomal RNA", at positions 118 to 347 of the family's 1533-position model. The record is from RNAcentral.
UGGGCAACCUGCCCCAGACACAGGGAUAACCCCGGGAAAACCGGGGCUAAUACCGGAUACUCCGGUCGAGCCGCAUGACUCGAUCGGGAAAGCUCCGACGGUCUGGGAUGGGCCCGCGGCCUAUCAGCUUGUUGGUGGGGUAACGGCCUACCAAGGCGACGACGGGUAGCUGGUCUGAGAGGACGACCAGCCACACUGGAACUGAGAUACGGUCCAGACUCCGUACGGGAG